This 71-nucleotide transfer RNA is filed under the name Loxodonta africana (African savanna elephant). It matches the Rfam family "tRNA". From Rfam's summary of the family: Transfer RNA (tRNA) molecules are approximately 80 nucleotides in length. Their secondary structure includes four short double-helical elements and three loops (D, anti-codon, and T loops). Further hydrogen bonds mediate the characteristic L-shaped molecular structure. tRNAs have two regions of fundamental functional importance: the anti-codon, which is responsible for specific mRNA codon recognition, and the 3' end, to which the tRNAs corresponding amino acid is attached (by aminoacyl-tRNA synthetases). tRNAs cope with the degeneracy of the genetic code in two manners: having more than one tRNA (with a specific anti-codon) for a particular amino acid; and 'wobble' base-pairing, i.e. permitting non-standard base-pairing at the 3rd anti-codon position. Lineage: Eukaryota; Metazoa; Chordata; Mammalia; Proboscidea; Elephantidae. The record is from Rfam by way of RNAcentral.
GCAUUGGUGGUUCAGUGGUAGAAUUCUAGCCCUUCAUGAAGGAGACCAGGGUUCGAUUCCUGGCCAAAGCG